AUGAACGCUGGCGGCGUGCUUAACACAUGCAAGUCGAACGAUGAAGCCCAGCUUGCUGGGUGGAUUAGUGGCGAACGGGUGAGUAACACGUGAGUAACCUGCCCUUAACUCUGGGAUAAGCCUGGGAAACUGGGUCUAAUACCGGAUAGGAGCGYCYACCGCAUGGUGGGUGUUGGAAAGAUUUAUCGGUUUUGGAUGGACUCGCGGCCUAUCAGCUUGUUGGUGAGGUAAUGGCUCACCAAGGCGACGACGGGUAGCCGGCCUGAGAGGGUGACCGGCCACACUGGGACUGAGACACGGCCCAGACUCCUACGGGAGGCAGCAGUGGGGAAUAUUGCACAAUGGGCGMAAGCCUGAUGCAGCGACGCCGCGUGAGGGAUGACGGCCUUCGGGUUGUAAACCUCUUUCAGUAGGGAAGAAGCGAAAGUGACGGUACCUGCAGAAGAAGCACCGGCUAACUAC
This 462-nucleotide ribosomal RNA is filed under the name Micrococcus luteus. RNAcentral describes it as "bacterial SSU rRNA". The record is from RNAcentral. Lineage: Bacteria; Bacillati; Actinomycetota; Actinomycetes; Micrococcales; Micrococcaceae.